GGGGGUGUCAUGGCUUCGACGGGGGAUGCGAAAUUGCCUGGUGCAUGCCGAGGGGGCCGCUUUCCUCGUAAAUCCAGCAGCAAACUUAUAGUUGCCAACGACGACAACUACGCUCUCGCCGCUUAAGGCGUAAGCCCUGAACCCACUUGUGUCCGUGCUCGUGGAUGUAGGGUCAUUAUCACGGAAUCGGCUGUGAUGGCUGCCUGUCAGUCACGGCUUCAAUCAAGCAGGCUGGUUCCGGGAUGCGCUUCGCGCACCGUGCUGUUCCGGAACGAGAUCCAACGGUGAGCUAAGCAUGUAGUGCCGGGGAUGGAGUGCCUUCGGACGCGGGUUCGACUCCCGCCACCUCCACCA
RNAcentral lists this transfer-messenger RNA (354 nucleotides) under Luteimonas sp. BLCC-B24. It matches the Rfam family "transfer-messenger RNA". From Rfam's summary of the family: Bacterial tmRNA, also known as 10Sa RNA or SsrA, is named for its dual tRNA and mRNA-like properties. Its role is to liberate the mRNA from a stalled ribosome. The record is from RNAcentral. Lineage: Bacteria; Pseudomonadati; Pseudomonadota; Gammaproteobacteria; Lysobacterales; Lysobacteraceae.